ACCUACGGGGGGCUGCAGUGAGGAAUAUUGCGCAAUGGGCGAAAGCCUGACGCAGCAACGCCGCGUGGAUGAUGAAGGCCUUCGGGUUGUAAAAUCCUUUUCUGGGGGACGAUGAUGACGGUACCUCAGGAAUAAGUCCCGGCUAACUACGUGCCAGCAGCCGCGGUAAAACGUAGGGGGCGAGCGUUAUCCGGAAUUAUUGGGCGUAAAGAGCACGUAGGUGGCGUUAAAAGUUGGGCGUGAAAGCUCUCGGCUUAACUGAGAGAGGUCGUUCAAAACUAUAAUGCUUGAGGUUGAUAGAGGAGAGUAGAAUUCCCGGUGUAGUGGUGGAAUGCGUAGAUAUCGGGAGGAAUACCAGUGGCGAAAGCGGCUCUCUGGAUCACACCUGACACUGAGGUGCGAAAGCGUGGGUAGCAAACAGGAUUAGAUACCCCAGUAGUCCAA
RNAcentral lists this ribosomal RNA (444 nucleotides) under uncultured bacterium. RNAcentral's name for it is "bacterial SSU rRNA". It matches the Rfam family "Bacterial small subunit ribosomal RNA", at positions 337 to 798 of the family's 1533-position model. The record is from RNAcentral.